This 773-nucleotide ribosomal RNA is filed under the name uncultured Neocallimastigales. Its description in RNAcentral is "partial large subunit ribosomal RNA". It matches the Rfam family "Eukaryotic large subunit ribosomal RNA", at positions 24 to 633 of the family's 3401-position model. The record is from RNAcentral. Lineage: Eukaryota; Fungi; Neocallimastigomycota; Neocallimastigomycetes; Neocallimastigales.
UAGUCUCGCACAGAUGCAUAUCAAUAAGCGGAGGAAAAGAAACUAACAAGGAUUCCCCUAGUAACGGCGAGUGAAGCGGGAAGAGCUCAAAUUUGAAAUCUUAAAGGGUUUCCCUUUACGAAUUGUAGUUUAAAGAAGUGUUUUCUGUCGAGGUUUUGGUAAAAGUUCUUUGGAAUAGGACAUCAUAGAGGGUGAGAAUCCCGUAUUUGACCUUUACUUUCAACUUUGUGAUACACUUUCAAAGAGUCGGAUUGUUUGGGAAUGCAGUCCAAAAUGGGUGGUAAAUUUCAUCUAAAGCUAAAUAUUGGCGAGAGACCGAUAGCGAACAAGUACCGUGAGGGAAAGAUGAAAAGAACUUUGAAAAGAGAGUUAAACAGUACGUGAAAUUGUCAAAAGGGAAGCGUUUGACACCAGUGUUGUUUUUCUGAAAAUCAAUUAAAGAACUGUUUAUGCUAAGUUGUUUAGACUUUAUCAGCUAACUGUUUAGUUUUGAGCUUUUCUUUAAUGCACUUUUCAGCUAACAAGUCAACAUCAAUUUCUUUUGCUGUAAAAAAGCUUGAGGAAGGUGGCUUGAGAUUCGUCUUAAGUGUUUAUAGCCUCUUGCCUAUGCAGUCGGAGAGAUUGAGGUCUGCAGCGUAGAUCCUUCGGGGCUAAAUGCAUUUGUGCUAAGUUAUAGCAUUUUAUAGACAACUUGUUGACUAUGAUUUGUCUUGUAGCUUACUCGCUUAUGUUAUUUUACCUACGCUUAGGAUGUUGAAGACUCUACAGAGAUA